Molecule: ribosomal RNA, 3222 nt
Filed under: Helicobacter bilis
Lineage: Bacteria; Pseudomonadati; Campylobacterota; Epsilonproteobacteria; Campylobacterales; Helicobacteraceae
Description: bacterial LSU rRNA
Rfam family: Bacterial large subunit ribosomal RNA
Source: RNAcentral
AAAAAGCUUUUAAGGGCAGAUGGUGGAUGCCUUGGGUGAUAGAGGCGAUGAAGGACGUACUAAGCUGCGAUAAGCUAUGGGGAGCUGCUAAGAAGCUUUGAUCCAUAGAUUUCCGAAUGGGGCAACCCAGCUAGUAGAGAUACUAGUUAUGUAGGCAACAGAGAGUAGAGAUUGGCAGAUGGCGAAAUAUUUUGGAUGAGAAAUUAAUGUUGUGAAGCAAUUUGUGCGGAGACUAGACUUAGUGUCUGUCGCACAAACAAAUUGUGAACUCAUUAAUUUAUCGCCAAAAGAUAAGCCAAGCCUCUAUUGUCUGUUGCCUGCAGGCGAACCUAGCGAAGUGAAACAUCUCAGUAGCUAGAGGAAAAGAAAUCAAUAGAGAUUCUCCUAGUAGCGGCGAGCGAACGGGGAAAAGGGCAAACCAGUAGCUUGCUACUGGGGUUGAGGACUGCAAUAUCCACUUGAAUAAUGUAGCAGAAGUGUUUGGAAAAACACAUCACAGAGGGUGAUAGUCCCGUAUGCGAAAUAUUAUUCAUAGGUAGCAGGAUCCAGAGUAGGCCAGGACACGUGAAAUCCGGGCUGAAGCCGGGGAGACCACUCUCCAACCCUAAAUACUACUAUCACACCGAUAGCGAACAAGUACCGUGAGGGAAAGGUGAAAAGAACCGCAGUGAGCGGAGUGAAAUAGAACCUGAAACCAUCUGCCUACAAUCAUUCGGAGCCCUAUUGUGGGUCUCAUUAAGGAAUUAAGGGGAAUAUAUAAGAAAUUCUAGCAUUGUGAGCAAGAUUUGUGGGUUGUGCAGAAAAAAUCGCGGAGACUAGACUUAGAGUCUGUCGCACAAGAUUUUUUCAAACUCCCGCAAAGAUUGCCACAAGGCGAAUUUAGCUUGAUUUCUUAGUGAGGCUCACAAGGGUGACGGACUGCCUUUUGCAUAAUGAUCCUGCGAGUUGUGGUAUCUGGCAAGGUUAAGCAAACGCGAAGCCGUAGCGAAAGCGAGUCUGAAAGGGCGUUUAAGUCAGAUGCUGCAGACCCGAAGCGAAGUGAUCUAUCCAUGGCCAAGUUGAAGUAAGUGUAAUAGCUUAUGGAGGACUGAACUCGUACCCAUUGAAACGGGUUGGGAUGAGCUGUGGAUAGGGGUGAAAGGCCAAACAAACUUCGUGAUAGCUGGUUCUCUUCGAAAUAUAUUUAGGUAUAGCCUCAAGUGAUAGUAAUAGGGGGUAGAGCUCUGAUUGGGCUAGGGCUGCUCACCGCGGUACCAACCCCUGUCAAACUGCAAAUACCUAUUACCGUAUCUUGGGAGUCAGGCGGUGGGUGAUAAAAUCAAUCGUCAAAAGGGGAACAACCCAGACUACCAACUAAGGUCCCAAAGUUCUAUUCUAAGUGGAAAAUGAUGUGAAGUUACUUUGACAACCAGGAGGUUGGCUUAGAAGCAGCCAUCCUUUAAAGAAAGCGUAACAGCUCACUGGUCUAGUGAUUUUGCGCAAAAAAUAUAACGGGGCUAAGAUAGACACCGAAGUUGUAGAUUAUGCUGAUGCAUAGUGGUAGAAGAGCGUUCGUAUUGCGUUGAAGGUAUACCGGUAAGGAGUGCUGGAGCGAUGCGAAGUGAGCAUGCAGGAAUGAGUAGCGAUAAAAGUGGUGAGAAUCCACUUCGCCGAAAGUCUAAGGUUUCCUACGCGAUGCUCGUCAUCGUAGGGUUAGUCGGGUCCUAAGACAAGUCAGAAAUGGGUAGUCGAUGGAAAAUGGGUUAAUAUUCCCAUACCAACAUUAGUGUGCGAUGGGGGGACGCAUAGGGCUAAGUAGCGUUAGCUGAUGGAAGUGCUAAUUUAAAAGCGUAGAUUGAGAGAUAGGUAAAUCCGCUCUUGUAUUCGAAACUUGAAUAGCUUGUUGCGAUCUUCGGAUCAAGAUGAGUGCUACUGACGCCGUCGUGCCAAGAAAAGCCUCUAAGUUUAGCUAAUGUUGCCCGUACCGCAAACCGACACAGGUAGAUGAGAUGAGUAUUCUAAGGCGCGUGAAAGAACUCUAGUUAAGGAACUCUGCAAACUAGCACCGUAAGUUCGCGAUAAGGUGUGCCACAGCAAUGUGGUCUCAGCAAAGAGUCCCUCCCGACUGUUUACCAAAAACACAGCACUUUGCAAACUCGUAAGAGGAAGUAUAAGGUGUGACGCCUGCCCGGUGCUCGAAGGUUAAGAGGAUUAGUCAGACGCAAGUCGAAGCUUUGAAUUGAAGCCCGAGUAAACGGCGGCCGUAACUAUAACGGUCCUAAGGUAGCGAAAUUCCUUGUCGGUUAAAUACCGACCUGCAUGAAUGGCGUAACGAGAUGGGAGCUGUCUCAACUAGGGAUUCAGUGAAAUUGUAGUGGAGGUGAAAAUUCCUCCUACCCGCGGCAAGACGGAAAGACCCCGUGGACCUUUACUACAGCUUGACACUGCCGAUGGGAGCAUUAUGCGCAGGAUAGGUGGGAGGCUUUGAAAUCUUUACUCUGGUAGAGAUGGAGCCAUCCUUGAGAUACCACCCUUAAUGUUUCUGUCUGCUAACUAGCUUGAGUUAUCCUCAAGUAGGACAAUGUCUGGUGGGUAGUUUGACUGGGGCGGUCGCCUCCUAAAAAGUAACGGAGGCUUGCAAAGGUUGGCUCAUUGCGGUUGGAAAUCGCAAGUAGAGUGUAAUGGCAUAAGCCAGCCUGACUGUAAGACAAACAAGUCGAGCAGAGACGAAAGUCGGUCAUAGUGAUCCGGUGAUUCUGUGUGGAAGGGUCAUCGCUCAAAGGAUAAAAGGUACCCCGGGGAUAACAGGCUGAUCUCCCCCAAGAGCUCACAUCGACGGGGAGGUUUGGCACCUCGAUGUCGGCUCAUCGCAUCCUGGGGCUGGAGCAGGUCCCAAGGGUAUGGCUGUUCGCCAUUUAAAGCGGUACGCGAGCUGGGUUCAGAACGUCGUGAGACAGUUCGGUCCCUAUCUGCCGUGGGCGUAGGAGAGUUGAGGAGAGCUGUCCCUAGUACGAGAGGACCGGGAUGGACAUGCCACUGGUGUACCAGUUGUUCUGCCAAGAGCAUCGCUGGGUAGCUACGCAUGGAUGUGAUAACCGCUGAAAGCAUCUAAGCGGGAAGCCAACUCCAAGAUGAACUCUCCCUGAAGGUCGCAGCAAGACUAGCUGCUUGAUAGGGUAGGUGUGUAAGCAUAGUAAUAUGUUCAGCUGACUACUACUAAUAGACCGUUUGGCUUUUUAUUAA